This 254-nucleotide ribosomal RNA is filed under the name uncultured bacterium. RNAcentral's name for it is "partial 16S ribosomal RNA". It matches the Rfam family "Bacterial small subunit ribosomal RNA", at positions 524 to 776 of the family's 1533-position model. The record is from RNAcentral.
GACGUAGGGUCCAAGCGUUGUCCGGAUUUACUGGGCGUAAAGAGCGCGUAGGCGGUCUGUUAAGUGUAGAGUGAAAUCUCCAGGGCUCAACCCGGAAACUGCUCUGCAUACUGGCAGACUGGAGUGAUGCAGAGGUUUGUGGAAUUCCUGGUGUAACGGUGAAAUGUGUUGAUAUCAGGAGGAACACCCAUGGCGAAGGCAGCAAACUGGGCAUUAACUGACGCUGAGGAGCGAAAGCGUGGGGAGCGAACAGG